AGGACGAACGCUGGCGGCGUGCUUAACACAUGCAAGUCGAGCGGUAAGGCCCUUUCGGGGGUACACGAGCGGCGAACGGGUGAGUAACACGUGGGUGACCUGCCCUUAGCUCUGGGAUAAGCCUGGGAAACUGGGUCUAAUACCGGAUAUGACCUCGCGAUGCAUGUCGUGGGGUGGAAAGCCUUGUGCGGCUAGGGAUGGGCCCGCGGCCUAUCAGCUUGUUGGUGGGGUGAUGGCCUACCAAGGCGACGACGGGUAGCCGGCCUGAGAGGGCGACCGGCCACACUGGGACUGAGACACGGCCCAGACUCCUACGGGAGGCAGCAGUGGGGAAUCUUGCGCAAUGGGCGAAAGCCUGACGCAGCGACGCCGCGUGAGGGAUGACGGCCUUCGGGUUGUAAACCUCUUUCAGCCCUGACGAAGCGAAGUGACGGUAGGGCAGAAGAGCACCGGCCAACUACGCGCCAGCAGCCGCGGUAA
This 480-nucleotide ribosomal RNA is filed under the name uncultured bacterium. RNAcentral describes it as "SSU rRNA". It matches the Rfam family "Bacterial small subunit ribosomal RNA", at positions 26 to 523 of the family's 1533-position model. The record is from RNAcentral.